ACCAGCUGCUCCAUGGAUGAUCUCCAUUUGAUAAGGCUUUCAGGGCAGGCAGAAAUUCUUUUGUCACCAGGCAUCAUGAGGGUCAUCAGCUCCUGCUGUAGCCUUUUGCCUACAGGGCCCCAGGCAGUGCCCCUGCUGGGCUCAGCUCCUUUAUGGGCAGUGGUGACACUGACAGUGGCUGGGUCAAAGUUUUGUGAGGCUAUCUGGGUGGCACUGGCAGAGAGACAAGAACUCAGAAAAUGUGACUGCAUCUGUGAUCAUCAUGUUUAUUUUUUAUUUUUAUUUAUUUAUUUUGAGACAGAGUCUUGCUCUUGUCACCCAGGCUCCAUCUCAGAAAAAAAAAGGAAAUAGUUUUAAGUUCUCAAUCAACUUCAACUGAAUGGUUAGUGGUCAGUUUUGUAAUCACAAUGACAUUCUUGCAAACAAAUACAAUGUGUGGCAUCUCUCUUUGAUAUACUGGAUAGUUAAAAAUUAUUUUAAAGUUUUGCCUAAUAUUUUGUGAUUUAUCUCAAUGUAAUCUGUAUAAGUAGUAAAAUUAUAGAUGACUCCUUUCCUUUUUUUUUUUUUUUU
RNAcentral lists this small RNA (570 nucleotides) under Pongo abelii (Sumatran orangutan). RNAcentral's name for it is "sense intronic". The record is from RNAcentral. Lineage: Eukaryota; Metazoa; Chordata; Mammalia; Primates; Hominidae.